ACUCCUACGGGAGGCAGCAGUGGGGAAUAUUGCACAAUGGGCGCAAGCCUGAUGCAGCCAUGCCGCGUGUAUGAAGAAGGCCCUUCGGGUUGGUAAAAGUACUUUCAGUCAGUGAGGAAGGUGGGUAUGUUAAUAGCAUACUCAUUUGACGUUAGCUGCAGAAGAAGCACCGGCUAACUCCGUGCCAGCAGCCGCGGUAAUACGGAGGGUGCGAGCGUUAAUCGGAAUUACUGGGCGUAAAGCGCAUGCAGGUGGUUUGUUAAGUCAGAUGUGAAAGCCCGGGGCUCAACCUCGGAAUUGCAUUUGAAACUGGCAAACUAGAGUACUGUAGAGGGGGGUAGAAUUUCAGGUGUAGCGGUGAAAUGCGUAGAGAUCUGAAGGAAUACCGGUGGCGAAGGCGGCCCCCUGGACAGAUACUGACACUCAAGAUGCGAAAGCGGUGGGGAGCAAAACAGGAUUAGAUACCCUGGUAGCUACGAGU
Molecule: ribosomal RNA, 481 nt
Filed under: uncultured bacterium
Lineage: Bacteria
Description: bacterial SSU rRNA
Rfam family: Bacterial small subunit ribosomal RNA
Source: RNAcentral